AGUGAACGCUGGCGGUAGGCCUAACACAUGCAAGUCGAACGGCAGCACAGUAAGAGCUUGCUCUUACGGGUGGCGAGUGGCGGACGGGUGAGGAAUACAUCGCAAUCUACUUUUUCGUGGGGGAUAACGUAGGGAAACUUACGCUAAUACCGCAUACGACCUACGGGUGAAAGCAGGAGAUCUUCGGACCUUGCGCGAUUGAAUGAGCCGAUGUCGGAUUAGCUAGUUGGCGGGGUAAAGGCCCACCAAGGCGACGAUCCGUAGCUGGUCUGAGAGGAUGAUCAGCCACACUGGAACUGAGACACGGUCCAGACUCCUACGGGAGGCAGCAGUGGGGAAUAUUGGACAAUGGGCGCAAGCCUGAUCCAGCCAUACCGCGUGGGUGAAGAAGGCCUUCGGGUUGUAAAGCCCUUUUGUUGGGAAAGAAAAGCAGCAGGUUAAUACCCCGCUGUUCUGACGGUACCCAAAGAAUAAGCACCGGCUAACUUCGUG
This 492-nucleotide ribosomal RNA is filed under the name uncultured bacterium. RNAcentral's name for it is "partial 16S ribosomal RNA". It matches the Rfam family "Bacterial small subunit ribosomal RNA", at positions 29 to 507 of the family's 1533-position model. The record is from RNAcentral.